UACGUAGGGUGCAAGCGUUAUCCGGAAUUAUUGGGCGUAAAGAGCUCGUAGGCGGUUUGUCACGUCUGCUGUGAAAACUGGAGGCUCAACCUCCAGCCUGCAGUGGGUACGGGCAGACUAGAGUGCGGUAGGGGAGAUUGGAAUUCCUGGUGUAGCGGUGGAAUGCGCAGAUAUCAGGAGGAACACCGAUGGCGAAGGCAGAUCUCUGGGCCGUAACUGACGCUGAGGAGCGAAAGCAUGGGGAGCAAACAGG
This 253-nucleotide ribosomal RNA is filed under the name uncultured bacterium. RNAcentral describes it as "partial 16S ribosomal RNA". It matches the Rfam family "Bacterial small subunit ribosomal RNA", at positions 524 to 776 of the family's 1533-position model. The record is from RNAcentral.